Molecule: non-coding RNA, 3879 nt
Organism: Nicotiana tabacum (common tobacco)
Lineage: Eukaryota; Viridiplantae; Streptophyta; Magnoliopsida; Solanales; Solanaceae
Source: RefSeq, a predicted model, not a curated record
UCUUCUUGGAUGAAAUUCGUGAUUGUGCAAAAUAUUUAUAUAUGUUGUAACUUGUAAACCAGUUUUCUUUUCUUUCAAACUGAUUAACAAUUUACAUAUUUGGUUCUGGUAACUAAUUGUGAAUUUUAAAGCUUUUAUCACGUAAUUUUUUUCGUGUAGUCUGUGUUCAACUAGGAGUAAUUUUCCGUUUCUUUUUCAAUUCAUGGAAACUGGAAAGGAGCUAUGAUUGACUUUAUUCUCAUAGAAAAUAAAGAGAAGACAUUAGUUGUCAAGUACUAAGUAUACUUCCUUUAAACAUGAUGACAAUAAUAAUAGCAUAUCACAUGCUGCUAUGAAAAAAAAAAAUACAGAAGAAUCCAAAUUGUAUGACUGAUAUUUGAGGGUAAGCAAAUACAUUAUGAUUUAUUAAGUUCCCAAACUCUUCCUUAAAAUAAUCCAAACAUGUUUAAGAUAUUGGUGAGUGAGGGGAGCCGAAUCCGUACCGAACCAAAUUAAGAAAUACCGAACCGUACCGAAAUAUUUUGGUAUGGUAUUUGGUAUACACAAUUGAUAAACCGAAUACCGAACCGAAAUUCUUAAAUACCGAACCGAAAUACCGAAUGCCCACCCCUAGAUAGAAAGCAACAAAAUUGAUGUUAAAGAGCAAGAAACGCACCUGCAAGUCGAAGAGAUGAGGAGGACCGAAGAUCAUCUCGAGAAGCUCUGUAAAUUGUUAUGUAAAGAAAUUGGAUAAAAACCCACACCUUGAAUAACCUAAAAACUACACGUAGUAUUUGUGUAAGUAGAGAAAGGGCACGUAUAAAGAUGAUGUAAAAUGACCUAAAUGUCCUCAAGCUUUGUUGAAAUGAUUCCAAGCACACAUGUCGAAAAACUCUCUCUUCUACAGAAGAGAAAAGAUAGAUUUCCUCUACCCUAGCCUAUUAUUUCAUUUCACCCGCUCAGCGCCUCAGCCGCUUCUGUGCUCUCCGGAUUCUGAAGUCUGAAGUUCCUCAAGAGUCAAGCCUCAACGUUUUUAGCAUAACUCUUCACUCAAAAUUUUCUUCACUCAAAAUUCCUCCUUUUUCGGUUUCUCCCACAGAUCUGUUCAACUGAUAAUUAAAGGAUAUCGUGGAAAUGGCAACCUAUAUGUGGAGGAAAUAUGCAGAUUAUGUGUACACAAAGUGGGAGAAGACAAUUCUAUGGGAUAUGGUCGAACCAUUUAGGAGACCAAAAUCGUUUACACCUCUUGUCACAAUCUAUGUUUGUGCAUUUUAUACAGGGGUUAUUGGGGCAGCCAUCACUGAGCAACUCUACAAGGAAAAAUACCAGGAAGAACACCCUGGGCAAGAAGUGCCUCUAAUGAAGCCGAUGUUUUAUGGCGGCCCUUGGAGAGUAAUGAGAGGUGAUGUUCCUCCUAUGGGAAAGUUCAAUCUCUGAGCAGCAGUCAGUUGACAGUUAUAAGGACCUACUGUCAGAGUACACAAAUGAGGAUGAACAGAGCAGGAGGUUUGAGACGCAUAAUUUCAACUGUUCAUCGCUAAAUCUGAAGACCAUCAAGUUCAUUAACUUUGAUGGACCACUAAGUGGAAAUAAAUCUGUACUGCCAUUUGUAAAAUAUUUGCUCAAGAAUGCAAUAGUGCUAGAGAAGUUCUUCAUUGCUGGCACCUGGCAGAUUCAGAAGGAGUGAUGUGUCUCGGGAUUAUGUUAAAAUGAAACAGGAUUUCCUAAGCUUUCCAAGAUCCUCUCCGCACGCUUCAAUUGUUUUUUCUUAUCGAUAAUCUUAUGCCCCUCUCUUUUGUAUUAAUUACAGCAUACAUAACAGCUUUUUACUUUAUGUUUGAAACUGGUUUGUAGCUGAUAGACAAGGUUAAGAUUCUAUUUAUCAGUAUCCAAGUAGUUCUUAUCAUGUCUAAGCACAAUGUGUUUAUUCACUUUAUUCUCUGAUCAUGUAAGAAAGCUUCCUCUAAGGUUGAAAGUCAUUUUGCAAAAAUAUUAUCUCAGUAUUCAUUACGACUUGAUAAGAUUGUUUCUGUUGGCAUAUGUUAUAUGACUAAUAUUUCAAGGUAAGAUGAAGUGAAUGCCAAGAAUUCCAUCCACAUGAAGAUCCUGCAUUGGCAAAAACUUAUAGAAUAAACUCUGCUAACUCUUAAGUACUACUUUGGGUCAGAUAUGAUGAUGAGAAAUCCAUUAAGGAGGUGGUUUAAUUGACCAUUUGUGCGUGUGUCUAUGUCACAUUCAGCUAAUGCUCUUGGCUAAAUUAUUUUCUUGUUAAAAUGGAACUCUUGCAUAUGUGCAAUGUCUAGGUGACACUCACUUUCAGGUUAUGAUGAUGGUCAUUACGAGGAAGAAGGACAAAACAAUAUUCGGGCAUGAGAAAAAGUAGCAAAAGAAAGUUGAUUCAGGCUGCACUUUUGUCUCUGUUAGUUGGGCUAGUUGCUUAAUGGAUAUCUGAUAUACUUUUUUUAUGCAGGCAUCAGGCGUGGUUUAUCUGCUCCCUGUUAACCUUACUUGUCCUCAUGGUCAGCCUCGUGUGCAGAACUUCAGUGAUUUUCUCAUAUGUCAUAAAGUACCAAUAUAGUCCUGGCAAUGUUGUCUAUAAUUGAUACCUUUUCUCAUGGAUUUCCUUUGGGAUGGCUUUUUGUCGUCAAACAUAUAAAGCUAGAGCAGUUUUUUUUUUUUUAUCUAUUCAUGAUGUUGGUAAAGAGUAACAUUUCAAUUUUGUGCGGUAAUAUGAAGUCGCAGAGAAGAAUCUUUGAUGGAUUUAUUUCAUUGUUAAUUUUCAGUUAUUUGCUUGUUUCACCUUUGACCAAUUUCAGAGAUGUGACAUCUCCUAUAGUCUACUGUAUAUGAUCUGGAGAUUAAAUGCUGCGUCACUUUCUUUUUUUUGAUGAUGGUCGUGUCCAGACCAGCUUGCACGCAUCUUGACUAUCACCAAGUAUUUGCUACCUCCCAUCAGCAUAGGUACCGGAUAACUCAGCUGCCAAGGCCAAUGUUGUGUUAAUUAAUUUAAAAAAUUACUGCACGUUUACUUAGGUCAGAGAUUUCCUCGUUGGUACAUUAAUAAGAACCUUCGUAACUUGGGACUAUCUGAAAUCUCUGGUCUCCAUCUUCAAAGGAACUAUUGGUGUUGUGCAGUCUGCCGAAACUAAUCAUUGCAUCUAUUCGUUGAACCCGUGCUUGAAGCAUUUCUCUGAACUGGAUGUCAUUGCCACUGGAGUUUUGGAUGCAUUUUUCCCUGCAGCAACACGUGAAUAUGCUCCCCUAGUUGAAGAGGAGUGGAAGAUCCUGCUAUACAGGAAACAUACAAGAGAAGAAAUGAGCUUCAUUUCCUUCCAGAUGCAGCAGAUUACUUCUUGAGCAAGUUUGUUGAGGUAUCAAGCAAUGAGUGUGAACCUUCAGAUCGAGAUAUACUGUAUGUUGAAGGGGAUGGUUUGGCUUUUAUGGAGUUCUCCUCGGAUGAUUGUUGCCUAAUGGGUGAAACAUAUGGAGACAAUCUGGAUGCCCCCGCACCACCUCUGACUAGGCAUGUUUUCUCUAAGAGUACUAAGGGGGUCAACAUUGGCAGUUGAGAUGGCCUGGGAAAUAGCUGCAGAACAUGAGGUGCUCCUUUUUGUUUCCAGUGCGUGACUCACAAUAGUAACCAGUCACCCGCUAUGAAGCUUUAAGACCUCUAUGCUUCUCUCACAGGUAGAAAGCUAUUUGUGUGGCAAGCCGGGCAAGAUGAGGCAUUCAAGUAUUACAAAAGGAUCAAUCAUACUUAUAUCAUCCUUUUGUAUUAUAUGCCGAAAAUUUGAAGUUUAUGGGUUUUGAACUUGCUGUCGAACACAUAACUUGUUGUUUACAAUUGAAUAUUUACGCAUAUUUAAUGGAUCUAAAAAAAUAUAGGGUCUAAGCAAAAGC